This 257-nucleotide long non-coding RNA is filed under the name Gossypium barbadense (sea-island cotton). RNAcentral's name for it is "long non-coding RNA (GBAR_LNC018272)". Lineage: Eukaryota; Viridiplantae; Streptophyta; Magnoliopsida; Malvales; Malvaceae. The record is from RNAcentral.
UUCAAUUGACCGAUCUCGGUGAAGACGGCGACGAAUCCGGUGGAGGAAGAAGGGUCGUUAGGGUUUUCAAAAGAGAAAGAAUAGGAGGCGACGAAGAAUGUCUUGCAGGGUCUAGCGGUGGCUGAUGCCGAAAGGAGGCCCACCGCCAGAAUAGUCACCGCAACCACGAAUUGACUCCACCUUCCCAUUCUUCCUUCACGGCAAUUUCGUCGGAUUUUACGAUUUGAUUGCAAAUUACGAAUCGAGUCUAAUUCCGC